This 345-nucleotide ribosomal RNA is filed under the name Eunicidae environmental sample. RNAcentral's name for it is "partial large subunit ribosomal RNA". It matches the Rfam family "Archaeal large subunit ribosomal RNA", at positions 2036 to 2590 of the family's 2987-position model. Lineage: Eukaryota; Metazoa; Annelida; Polychaeta; Eunicida; Eunicidae. The record is from RNAcentral.
GCGUAAUCAUCUGCCCCUUAAUUAGAGGCCCGUAUCAACGGACAAACGAGAAUAUUCCUGUCUCUUUCUUACUCCUACAAACUUAUCUCCAGGUGCAAAAGCCUGAAUCCCUAUAAAAGACAAAAAGUCCUCGUCGAGCUUUAACUCCAGUAAAUCUAGCUAAUCCCCCCAGAAUGUCCCCCCUUACAGCAGUUUUUGUUGGGGCAACAAUGGUGACCUCUAACCGCCAUAUUACAUCCGAGACUCCUAGUCUUCUCCUAGACCCUCAAGCGCUCUCAGGCACCAGCUACCGCAGGGAUAACAGACUAAUUCCCCACAAGAGCCCAAAUCCACUGGGGAGCUUGG